GAUGAACGCUGGCGGCGUGCCUAAUACAUGCCAGUCGAGCGAACAGACGAGGAGCUUGCUCCUCUGACGUUAGCGGCGGACGGGUGAGUAACACGUGGAUAACCUACCUAUAAGACUGGGAUAACUUCGGGAAACCGGAGCUAAUACCGGAUAACAUGUUGAACCGCAUGGUUUAACAGUGAAAGACGGUCUUGCUGUCACUUAUAGAUGGAUCCGCGCCGCAUUAGCUAGUUGGUAAGGUAACGGCUUACCAAGGCAACGAUGCGUAGCCGACCUGAGAAGGUGAUCGGCCACACUGGAACUGAGGCACGGUCCAGACUCCUACGGGAGGCAGCAGUAGGGAAUCUUCCGCAAUGGGCGAAAGCCUGACGGAGCAACGCCGCGUGAGUGAAGAAGGUCUUCGGAUCGUAAAACUCUGUUAUUAGGGAAGAACAAAUGUGUAAGUAACUAUGCACGUCUUGACGGUACCUAAUCAGAAAGCCACGGCUAACUACGU
This 496-nucleotide ribosomal RNA is filed under the name uncultured bacterium. Its description in RNAcentral is "partial 16S ribosomal RNA". It matches the Rfam family "Bacterial small subunit ribosomal RNA", at positions 28 to 506 of the family's 1533-position model. The record is from RNAcentral.